RNAcentral lists this ribosomal RNA (497 nucleotides) under uncultured bacterium. Its description in RNAcentral is "partial 16S ribosomal RNA". It matches the Rfam family "Bacterial small subunit ribosomal RNA", at positions 28 to 507 of the family's 1533-position model. The record is from RNAcentral.
GAUGAACGCUGGCGGCGUGCCUAAUACAUGCAAGUCGAGCGAACAGAUAAGGAGCUUGCUCCUUUGACGUUAGCGGCGGACGGGUGAGUAACACGUGGGUAACCUACCUAUAAGACUGGGAUAACUUCGGGAAACCGGAGCUAAUACCGGAUAAUAUUUCGAACCGCAUGGUUCGAUAGUGAAAGAUGGUUUUGCUAUCACUUAUAGAUGGACCCGCGCCGUAUUAGCUAGUUGGUAAGGUAACGGCUUACCAAGGCGACGAUACGUAGCCGACCUGAGAGGGUGAUCGGCCACACUGGAAUUGAGACACGGUCCAGACUCCUACGGGAGGCAGCAGUAGGGAAUCUUCCGCAAUGGGCGAAAGCCUGACGGAGCAACGCCGCGUGAGCGAUGAAGGUCUUCGGAUCGUAAAACUCUGUUAUUAGGGAAGAACAUACGUGUAAGUAACUGUGCACGUCUUGACGGUACCUAAUCAGAAAGCCACGGCUAUCUACGUG